This is a long non-coding RNA of Erinaceus europaeus (western European hedgehog), 893 nucleotides long. RefSeq lists it as uncharacterized. The record is from RefSeq and is a predicted model, not a curated record. Lineage: Eukaryota; Metazoa; Chordata; Mammalia; Eulipotyphla; Erinaceidae. The transcript is spliced from 3 exons.
CUUUGGAUGUGGCUAUUGGAAAAAUGAAAAUGACAGAUGUGAUUCAUCUCUUAUUCCUUAUGGACCAGGCUGCUCUAGAGUCCACAAGCACUGUGCAAACUCUAAGACAGAGGAGCUGGAAGACACCCCAGAAACCUGAACUAACAUGGAAUACGGGUGACCAUGUGAAUCUGGAAUCAAGUCCCUGUGGAGGCUUUGUCCCAGCACAUCUGGGCUAUUUGGAAUUCACAUUUCAAAGGAUUUCAUGUCCUAUGUUAGGUUGCUCAGGUUGGCAUUGAGUUCCUGAAGAGACAAAAUAGAAAGGGCUCAAAACAGAGACACAGGAAGCAUCCAUGCCCAUACGCCCAGCGCCGAGGGAGAGCUGUGACCGGCAGCCAAACAAGUGGCUUUGGCAUGGGACCAGCACCAGAGGAGUACUUACAGCAAUCUUGUUUUUGAUCCGGGAGAGCUUCUCCUGGGCCUCGGCAAGUUCUGCGUUAGCUUCCUCCAGGGCCAGCCUCUUGGGGGCCACAUCGCAGUAGACCUCAUAGAAACGCACAAUAUUGAUGCACCAGGAGCACAGCCCUGCAGCGGCUGUGGACUUGGAGCGGAUGAAUUCGGGGUCAAAUGUCGGGUUGCCUUGGUAGGGCCUGGAGGGAGGACAGUGGGGUGCUGGCUUAGUGCUUCUAAUUUCCUUUCUUUCUUUCUUUCUUUCUUUCUUUCUUUCUCUCUUUCUUAUUAUUUUAUUUAUUCCCUUUUGUUGCCCUUGUUGUUUUGGCUUAGUGCUUCUAUCUUCCUGCCUGCAGUUCACCGAUGGGUACUGCUCUGCUCUCUGAUCACCAGCGACAGGAGUUUUAUUUGUAACAUAAAGUGCACAGAAAGGAGAAAUAAAAGGAUGGAAUUUUGGUUGCUGA